GAAACAGUUGCUAAGACUGGAUAGGAAAUUAAAAGGCAUCUUUUAAUUUUUAAAAGACCUUUUUCGGAAGGUAUGCUUAAAGAGGGGCUUGCGCCACAUUAGUUAGUUGGUAAGGUAAAGGCUUACCAAGACGAUGAUGUGUAGCUGGACUGAGAGGUUGAACAGCCACAUUGGGACUGAGACACGGCCCAAACUCCUACGGGAGGCAGCAGUAAGGAAUUUUUGGCAAUGGAGGAAACUCUGACCGAGCGACGCCGCGUGAACAAUGAAGUACUUCGGUAUGUAAAGUUCUUUUAUUGAAAAAGAAAAAAUAGUGGAAAAACUAUCUUGACAUUAUUCAAUGAAUAAGCCCCGGCUAAUUAUGUGCCAGCAGCCGCGGUAAUACAUAAGGGGCGAGCGUUAUCCGGAAUUAUUGGGCGUAAAGGGUGCGUAGGCGGUUUGAUAAGUCUAUAGUUUAAUUGCAGUGCUUAACGCUGUACCGCUAUAGAAACUGUCUGACUAGAGUUAGAUAGAGGCAAGCGGAAUUCCAUGUGUAGCGGUAAAAUGCGUAAAUAUAUGGAGGAACACCAGAGGCGUAGGCGGCUUGCUGGGUCUUAACUGACGCUGAGGCACGAAAGCGUGGGGAGCAAACAGGAUUAGAUACCCUGGUAGUCCACGCCGUAAACGAUGAGUACUAAGUGUCGGGUUUUGGCUCGGUACUGAAGUUAACACAUUAAGUACUCCGCCUGAGUAGUACGUACGCAAGUAUGAAACUUAAAGGAAUUGACGGGACCCCGCACAAGCGGUGGAUCAUGUUGUUUAAUUCGAAGAUACACGAAAAACCUUACCAGGUCUUGACAUAAUUUUGCGACAUUAUAGAAAUAUAAUGAAGGUUAUCAGAAUUACAGGUGGUGCAUGGUUGUCGUCAGCUCGUGUCGUGAGAUGUUAGGUUAAGUCCUAAAACGAGCGCAACCCUUGUCGUUAGUUGCGACCACAUAAUGGUGAGCACUUUAGCGAGACUGCCAAUGAAAAAUUGGAGGAAGGUGAGGAUUACGUCAAAUCAUCAUGCCCCUUAUGAUCUGGGCUACAAACGUGAUACAAUGGCUUUUACAAAGAGUAGCUACAACGUGAGUUUUUAGCCAAUCUCAAAAAAACAGUCUCAGUUCGGAGUGAAGUCUGCAACUCGACUUCAUGAAGUUGGAAUCGCUAGUAAUCGCGAAUCAGCAUGUCGCGGUGAAUACGUUCUCGGGGUUUGUACACACCGCCCGUCA
This 1250-nucleotide ribosomal RNA is filed under the name Candidatus Phytoplasma phoenicium. RNAcentral describes it as "bacterial SSU rRNA". It matches the Rfam family "Bacterial small subunit ribosomal RNA", at positions 153 to 1399 of the family's 1533-position model. The record is from RNAcentral. Lineage: Bacteria; Bacillati; Mycoplasmatota; Mollicutes; Acholeplasmatales; Acholeplasmataceae.